UGGCGGACGGGUGAGUAACGCGUAGGUAUCUAUCCUUGGGUGGGGGACAACUGUGGGAAACUACAGCUAAUACCGCAUGACGACCGAGGUCCAAAGCUCGCGAGAGCGCCUGGGGAGGAGCCUGCGUACGAUUAGCUAGUUGGUGGGGUAAAGGCCUACCAAGGCGACGAUCGUUAGCUGGUCUGAGAGGAUGAUCAGCCACAUUGGGACUGAGACACGGCCCAA
Molecule: ribosomal RNA, 225 nt
Filed under: uncultured bacterium
Lineage: Bacteria
Description: partial 16S ribosomal RNA
Rfam family: Bacterial small subunit ribosomal RNA
Source: RNAcentral